CUUGCUUUUGAUGGGCGUCGACCGGCGCACGGGUGAGUAACGCGUAUCCAACCUGCCCAUCACUUGGGGAUAACCUUGCGAAAGUAAGACUAAUACCCAAUGAUAUCUCUAGAAGACAUCUGAAGGAGAUUAAAGAUUUAUCGCUUAUGGAUGGACUCGCGUCUGAUUAGCUGGUUGGCGGGGUAACGGCCCACCAAGGCGACGAUCAGUAGCCGAACUGAGAGGUUGAUCGGCCACAUUGGGACUGAGACACGGCCCAGACUCC
RNAcentral lists this ribosomal RNA (265 nucleotides) under uncultured bacterium. RNAcentral describes it as "partial 16S ribosomal RNA". It matches the Rfam family "Bacterial small subunit ribosomal RNA", at positions 74 to 339 of the family's 1533-position model. The record is from RNAcentral.